GACGAACGCUGGCGGCGUGCUUAACACAUGCAAGUCGAACGGAAAGGCCCUGCUUUUGUGGGGUGCUCGAGUGGCGAACGGGUGAGUAACACGUGAGUAACCUGCCCUUGACUUUGGGAUAACUUCAGGAAACUGGGGCUAAUACCGGAUAGUAGCUCCUGCUGCAUGGUGGGGGGUGGAAAGUUUCGGCGGUUGGGGAUGGACUCGCGGCUUAUCAGCUUGUUGGUGGGGUAGUGGCUUACCAAGGCUUUGACGGGUAGCCGGCCUGAGAGGGUGACCGGCCACAUUGGGACUGAGAUACGGCCCAGACUCCUACGGGAGGCAGCAGUGGGGAAUAUUGCACAAUGGGCGGAAGCCUGAUGCAGCAACGCCGCGUGCGGGAUGACGGCCUUCGGGUUGUAAACCGCUUUCGCCUGUGACGAAGCGUGAGUGACGGUAAUGGGUAAAGAAGCACCGGCUAACUACGUG
RNAcentral lists this ribosomal RNA (468 nucleotides) under uncultured bacterium. Its description in RNAcentral is "partial 16S ribosomal RNA". It matches the Rfam family "Bacterial small subunit ribosomal RNA", at positions 28 to 507 of the family's 1533-position model. The record is from RNAcentral.